RNAcentral lists this long non-coding RNA (1091 nucleotides) under Homo sapiens (human). Its description in RNAcentral is "HSALNT0242767". The record is from RNAcentral. Lineage: Eukaryota; Metazoa; Chordata; Mammalia; Primates; Hominidae.
CAAAAUGUUCUCCUUUAUUGCUUUAUGUUCUUAAGCUGUACACACACACACACACACACACACACACACGCACACACCUCCUCCUCUACCAUACCACAUGGUCUUUUAUGUUUUAUUCAUUUAUCCCCACCUGACUCCUCACCAUGAUGCAUACUUCAGAGUUCAGCUUCUACAAAGACUGCUCCUCAUUUAAUGAUGGCCUCUGAGAUGCUGGACUCUGACAUUCAUUCAUGGACAUUCUAACAAUAACACUUCCCAUUCAGGUGGAACCUUUCUUGACAUUCUUUCUCUCUAGGUUUUUCCUCCAAUGGAAGUAGGUCAGCCCUACCUGCAGAGUGGAGAAACCUAACUGGACCACAGACAAGAUCCAGGAAGUGCAUGGAAAGGGAGCCUUCUCCAUAUGGAGAGAAGCAGUGAAGUCCUGAAGAAGGAAGCCGUAACAUUCCUUGAGUACUCACAAGGCGGCCUGACAUCUGGUCCACACUUGGGGAAAAGAGGCCACAUCCCCACAUGGAGAUCUAUUUUUGCAUUCUGAGCUGCGGAUGCUUUGCUCGUACAACUUGCCUUACACACAGAAAGGGGAAGGAAACUAAUAUUUACCAAGUGCUAGCUACAUGCCCUGUGCUGCUUUCACGUGCGUAUCUCUCCCACUACGCUGUGUAUCUGCAGACAGCUCACCAGGUAUGUCUCUGAAAAGCACAUGGAGGUGAACACUGAAUGCCUCCAACUUCCUCCACUCACCUGGCUGAGGGCCACACGCACAGCUGAUGCCCAACACAUCCAUAUAUUCAUGUAUGCUUCUUUACAAGGACUUCUCACCAUGGUCGAAGGAGAAAAUCUAUUCGUGAAAGACACAUUCUCUUGACCAUAUGCGUCUCCCUGUUGCACUGGGGCAGAUCAGCAUAGUGUGGGCACAAGGAGAAUGAAGCUUUGACUGAUAUGGACUGUGCCGUGGGUUUAGCACCAGCACCCUCAGGGACACAGCCACACUGUUUCCAAUCCUCCUCUACUAGGCUGUCUCUAAAUCUUCCUGGACUGAUGUGUUUAUCACUUCAUGGUGCUUCUCUUUUAAGACCGUUAUCAGAAGGAAC